CGGGGGUGGAAGAAAGAUUUUCUAAAGACAUAGCAUUAUCAUGCUGUCCCUUAUUACGUCAAAUGCAAAGUCAUAAGAUACCGUAUGUUCUUUAGACAUCUGAUCCCCGUUGGUCCUUAAUGAUCAGCAACUUUGAUCCCACAAAAGCUACAAAUUCUUUAGGACAUAAAACCGUGGUUUCUUUCAAUUUGGGGAUCAAAAAUAGAACAAAUGAAACAAAAUGACUAGCUAUUUUUAACCAAUUCAUUUAGUAAGUUUUAAAUUUAAAAUAAUGAAAUCUUGAAUGUUAUAUAUUUUUAUCGUUUAUGUUAAAUGUUUCACCCUGCCACACGUUCCAACAUAUAGCAUAAUAAUCAUAACACCCAGCCAUACAAUAUCCACAAUGAUGUCACAGUAAAAGGUUUCAGCGCGAAGCUCUCAAAUUUAUCGUUUAUGUUAAAUGUUUCACCCUGCCACACGUUCCAACAUAUAGCAUAAUAAUCAUAACACCCAGCCAUACAAUAUCCACAAUGAUGUCACAGUAAAAGGUUUCAGCGCGACGCUCUCAAAUGGGGGACUAUUCUCGAGCAGAAAUUUUAGAAUUUUCUUGCGUUUUUUGUGACGUGUUUCACAGAUAAUAGUACGUGAACCUUUAUGGGCAAGGCUGAAUAGAGACACAAAAAAUAAAUGUUGAUGUAUAAUAUUAACGACAUCAUUGGUUGUUUAUUAAGUCUCCCAAACAAAGUUUGGAGACUUAUUGUUUUUGCUCAGUUCUUAUUAUUUUUAUUAUUCUUCUUCUUUUUUCUUUUCUUCCGCACAAUUAAAAAUGAACUUGUCCGCAGCGUUUCUCCAAAACCCCUGGUCAGAUUAACUUAGGGUUUCAUAGAAUGUUAGACUAAUAUGUCUAGGUGAGCCAUCGAUCUUUCGUUUGUGCAUUGGGGUCUAUUAAGGGGUAUUUUGGGGGGCAGAAAGAAGGGAGGGGUUUACUAUAGAACCCUAUGGGAUUUUAUUUUCUAAAAUUUUCAAAUGAAUAUAACUUUAAAACUGUAAGUGAUAGAUACAUGUAGUCUUCAGAAAUGAUUAAAGGACAAUAAAACAAAUCACAUGAAAUAUAGAAGGAGUCCCUGGGGGUCAUCCCACCCCCUUCAAUUUGAGAAUAUGCUUUUAUCUUGUAAACGGUCCAGAUCCCCACCCCUAAACCUCAUAUAUUCUUGAAUGGGACGAUAAAACAAAUCAAAUGAAAUUAAAGGGAAGUCCCCGGGGUCCUCCCCACCCCGUUCAAUUUGAAAAUGUGCUAUUAUCUUGUAAACGGUCCAGAUCCCCACCCCUAAACCAUAUAUAUUCUUGUGGGGGACAAUAAAACAAAUGAAAUGAAAUAAAAGGGAAGUCCUGAGGGGGUCACCCCACCCCCUCUUGUUUGAAAACUUGUAAACCGUCAACAUCCCCACCCCUAAACCAUCUAUAUUCUUGUAUGGGACAAUAAAACUAAUCAAAUGAAAUUAAAUGGAAGUUCCUUGGGGUAACCCCCACCCCGUUUAAUUUGAGAAUGCACUAUUAUCUUGUAAACGGUCCAGAUCCCCACCCCUAAACCAUAUAUAUUCUUGUAGGGGACAAUAAAACAAAUGAAAUGAUAUAAAAGGAAAGUCCCGAGGGGGUCACCCCACCCCUUCUUGUUUGAAAACUUGUAAACGGUCAACAUCCCCACCCCUAAACCAUAUAUAUUCCUGUAUGGGACAACAAGGCUAAUCAAAUGAAAUUAAAGGGAAGUUCCUGGGGGUCGCCCCCCACCCUGUUCAAUUUGAGAAUGUGCUAUUAUCUUGUAAACGGUCCAGAUCCCCACCCCUAAACCAUAUAUAUUCUUGUAGGGGACAAUAAAACAAAUCAAAUGAUAUAAAAGAGAAGUCCCGAGGGGUCACCCCACCCCCUCUUGUUUGAAAACUUGUAAACGGUCAACAUCCCCACCCCUAAACCAUAUAUAUUCUUGUAUGGGACAAUAAAACAAAUCAAAUGAAAUGUAGGUAAAGUCCUUGGGGGUCAUCACCACCCCCUCCUGUUUGAAUACUUUUAAAUUGUGGAGAUCCCCACUCGUAAGCCAUAUAUAUUCUUGUAUGGGGCAAAAAAUCAAAUCAAAUGAACAUGGGACCAUAUGAAUGGCGAGUUAUGGGAGCUUUGUUUGGGAGACUUCGUAACAGCAUCCUGUUACAAUUACUUCUUGUUUCU
This 2199-nucleotide long non-coding RNA is filed under the name Mytilus galloprovincialis (Mediterranean mussel). The record is from RNAcentral. Lineage: Eukaryota; Metazoa; Mollusca; Bivalvia; Mytilida; Mytilidae.